UUAAGCGACUAAGCGUACACGGUGGAUGCCCUGGCAGUCAGAGGCGAUGAAGGACGUGCUAAUCUGCGAUAAGCGUCGGUAAGGUGAUAUGAACCGUUAUAACCGGCGAUUUCCGAAUGGGGAAACCCAGUGUGUUUCGACACACUAUCAUUAACUGAAUCCAUAGGUUAAUGAGGCGAACCGGGGGAACUGAAACAUCUAAGUACCCCGAGGAAAAGAAAUCAACCGAGAUUCCCCCAGUAGCGGCGAGCGAACGGGGAGCAGCCCAGAGCCUGAAUCAGUGUGUGUGUUAGUGGAAGCGUCUGGAAAGGCGCGCGAUACAGGGUGACAGCCCCGUACACAAAAAUGCACAUACUGUGAGCUCGAUGAGUAGGGCGGGACACGUGGUAUCCUGUCUGAAUAUGGGGGGACCAUCCUCCAAGGCUAAAUACUCCUGACUGACCGAUAGUGAACCAGUACCGUGAGGGAAAGGCGAAAAGAACCCCGGCGAGGGGAGUGAAAAAGAACCUGAAACCGUGUACGUACAAGCAGUGGGAGCCUCUUUUAUGGGGUGACUGCGUACCUUUUGUAUAAUGGGUCAGCGACUUAUAUUCUGUAGCAAGGUUAACCGAAUAGGGGAGCCGAAGGGAAACCGAGUCUUAACUGGGCGUUAAGUUGCAGGGUAUAGACCCGAAACCCGGUGAUCUAGCCAUGGGCAGGUUGAAGGUUGGGUAACACUAACUGGAGGACCGAACCGACUAAUGUUGAAAAAUUAGCGGAUGACUUGUGGCUGGGGGUGAAAGGCCAAUCAAACCGGGAGAUAGCUGGUUCUCCCCGAAAGCUAUUUAGGUAGCGCCUCGUGAAUUCAUCUCCGGGGGUAGAGCACUGUUUCGGCAAGGGGGUCAUCCCGACUUACCAACCCGAUGCAAACUGCGAAUACCGGAGAAUGUUAUCACGGGAGACACACGGCGGGUGCUAACGUCCGUCGUGAAGAGGGAAACAACCCAGACCGCCAGCUAAGGUCCCAAAGUCAUGGUUAAGUGGGAAACGAUGUGGGAAGGCCCAGACAGCCAGGAUGUUGGCUUAGAAGCAGCCAUCAUUUAAAGAAAGCGUAAUAGCUCACUGGUCGAGUCGGCCUGCGCGGAAGAUGUAACGGGGCUAAACCAUGCACCGAAGCUGCGGCAGCGACACUAUGUGUUGUUGGGUAGGGGAGCGUUCUGUAAGCCUGUGAAGGUGUGCUGUGAGGUAUGCUGGAGGUAUCAGAAGUGCGAAUGCUGACAUAAGUAACGAUAAAGCGGGUGAAAAGCCCGCUCGCCGGAAGACCAAGGGUUCCUGUCCAACGUUAAUCGGGGCAGGGUGAGUCGACCCCUAAGGCGAGGCCGAAAGGCGUAGUCGAUGGGAAACAGGUUAAUAUUCCUGUACUUGGUGUUACUGCGAAGGGGGGACGGAGAAGGCUAUGUUGGCCGGGCGACGGUUGUCCCGGUUUAAGCGUGUAGGCUGGUUUUCCAGGCAAAUCCGGAAAAUCAAGGCUGAGGCGUGAUGACGAGGCACUACGGUGCUGAAGCAACAAAUGCCCUGCUUCCAGGAAAAGCCUCUAAGCAUCAGGUAACAUCAAAUCGUACCCCAAACCGACACAGGUGGUCAGGUAGAGAAUACCAAGGCGCUUGAGAGAACUCGGGUGAAGGAACUAGGCAAAAUGGUGCCGUAACUUCGGGAGAAGGCACGCUGAUAUGUAGGUGAAGUCCCUUGCGGAUGGAGCUGAAAUCAGUCGAAGAUACCAGCUGGCUGCAACUGUUUAUUAAAAACACAGCACUGUGCAAACACGAAAGUGGACGUAUACGGUGUGACGCCUGCCCGGUGCCGGAAGGUUAAUUGAUGGGGUCAGCGCAAGCGAAGCUCUUGAUCGAAGCCCCGGUAAACGGCGGCCGUAACUAUAACGGUCCUAAGGUAGCGAAAUUCCUUGUCGGGUAAGUUCCGACCUGCACGAAUGGCGUAAUGAUGGCCAGGCUGUCUCCACCCGAGACUCAGUGAAAUUGAACUCGCUGUGAAGAUGCAGUGUACCCGCGGCAAGACGGAAAGACCCCGUGAACCUUUACUAUAGCUUGACACUGAACAUUGAGCCUUGAUGUGUAGGAUAGGUGGGAGGCUUAGAAGUGUGGACGCCAGUCUGCAUGGAGCCGACCUUGAAAUACCACCCUUUAAUGUUUGAUGUUCUAACGUUGACCCGUGAUCCGGGUUGCGGACAGUGUCUGGUGGGUAGUUUGACUGGGGCGGUCUCCUCCUAAAGAGUAACGGAGGAGCACGAAGGUUGGCUAAUCCUGGUCGGACAUCAGGAGGUUAGUGCAAUGGCAUAAGCCAGCUUGACUGCGAGCGUGACGGCGCGAGCAGGUGCGAAAGCAGGUCAUAGUGAUCCGGUGGUUCUGAAUGGAAGGGCCAUCGCUCAACGGAUAAAAGGUACUCCGGGGAUAACAGGCUGAUACCGCCCAAGAGUUCAUAUCGACGGCGGUGUUUGGCACCUCGAUGUCGGCUCAUCACAUCCUGGGGCUGAAGUAGGUCCCAAGGGUAUGGCUGUUCGCCAUUUAAAGUGGUACGCGAGCUGGGUUUAGAACGUCGUGAGACAGUUCGGUCCCUAUCUGCCGUGGGCGCUGGAGAACUGAGGGGGGCUGCUCCUAGUACGAGAGGACCGGAGUGGACGCAUCACUGGUGUUCGGGUUGUCAUGCCAAUGGCACUGCCCGGUAGCUAAAUGCGGAAGAGAUAAGUGCUGAAAGCAUCUAAGCACGAAACUUGCCCCGAGAUGAGUUCUCCCUGACUCCUUGAGAGUCCUGAAGGAACGUUGAAGACGACGACGUUGAUAGGCCGGGUGUGUAAGCGCAGCGAUGCGUUGAGCUAACCGGUACUAAUGAACCGUGAGGCUUAACCUU
Molecule: ribosomal RNA, 2901 nt
Filed under: Escherichia coli BWH 32
Lineage: Bacteria; Pseudomonadati; Pseudomonadota; Gammaproteobacteria; Enterobacterales; Enterobacteriaceae
Description: bacterial LSU rRNA
Rfam family: Bacterial large subunit ribosomal RNA
Source: RNAcentral